Molecule: long non-coding RNA, 247 nt
Organism: Silurus meridionalis
Lineage: Eukaryota; Metazoa; Chordata; Actinopteri; Siluriformes; Siluridae
Exons: 3
Source: RefSeq, a predicted model, not a curated record
UAUUAUUGUUGUCCUCAACCAAGCUGAGGUGACAAACACAAAGAGCUGGACAGACCAGCCUCACCAUACACAAGAGUCUCCUAGAGCCCUCUACUGGUCAAAAUCAAACAUUGCAAGAAGGUAGAAGGCACCGCGUGUCACCCACCCCCCUCAGCCUCACCUACAACCCCACCAUCACCCCUCCCCUCCCCUCUGUCUAGUAGUGCAGUAGUCCGGGAUGGUCCGUCGUGUUGCACCAGGAGGCAGG